CCUACGGGAGGCUGCAGUGAGGAAUAUUGGUCAAUGGACGAGAGUCUGAACCAGCCAAGUAGCGUGAAGGAUGACUGCCCUAUGGGUUGUAAACUUCUUUUAUAAAGGAAUAAAACGAGGCACGUGUGCCUUUUUGCAUGUACUUUAUGAAUAAGGAUCGGCUAACUCCGUGCCAGCAGCCGCGGUAAUACGGAGGAUCCGAGCGUUAUCCGGAUUUAUUGGGUUUAAAGGGAGCGUAGAGGGGUUGGUAAGUCAGCUGGGAAAGUUUGGGGCUCAACCGUAAAAUUGCAGUUGAUACUGGCAGUCUUGAGGACAGUUGAGGUAGGCGGAAUGCGUGGUGUAGCGGUGAAAUGCUUAGAUAUCACGCAGAACCCCGAUUGCGAAGGCAGCUUACUAAACUGUGACUGACAUUGAUGCGCGAAAGUGUGGGUAUCAAACAGGAUUAGAUACCCGAGUAGUC
Molecule: ribosomal RNA, 460 nt
Filed under: uncultured bacterium
Lineage: Bacteria
Description: partial 16S ribosomal RNA
Rfam family: Bacterial small subunit ribosomal RNA
Source: RNAcentral